UGCCAGACUCCUACGGGAGGCAGCAGUGAGGAAUAUUGGUCAAUGGGCGGAAGCCUGAACCAGCCAAGUCGCGUGAGGGAAGAAGGCCCUGCGGGUCGCAGACCUCUUUGGACGGGGAGCAAGGCCGCCGACGUGUCGGCGGAAGGAGAGUACCCGUAGAACAAGCAUCGGCUAACUCCGAGCCAGCAGCCGCGGUAAUACGGAGGAUGCGAGCGUUAUUCGGAUUUAUUGGGUUUAAAGGGUGCGUAGGCGGAAUAUCAAGUCAGCGGUAAAAAUUCGGGGCUCAACCCCGUCGUGCCGUUGAAACUGUUGGUCUUGAGUAUCGGAGAGGCAGGCGGAAUUCCUAGUGUAGCGGUGAAAUGCGUAGAUAUUAGGAGGAACACCAGUGGCGAAGGCGGCCUGCUGGACGACAACUGACGGUGAGGCGCGAAAGCGUGGGGAGCAAACAGGAUUAGAUACCCGAGUAUA
This 468-nucleotide ribosomal RNA is filed under the name uncultured bacterium. Its description in RNAcentral is "partial 16S ribosomal RNA". It matches the Rfam family "Bacterial small subunit ribosomal RNA", at positions 329 to 794 of the family's 1533-position model. The record is from RNAcentral.